This 1000-nucleotide long non-coding RNA is filed under the name Lathyrus oleraceus (garden pea). RNAcentral describes it as "Pisum sativum (pea) long non-coding RNA (PSAT_LNC032368)". Lineage: Eukaryota; Viridiplantae; Streptophyta; Magnoliopsida; Fabales; Fabaceae. The record is from RNAcentral.
GAUCGAGGUUUUGAUCUUGCUUUGAAAUGGUUAUCGAAUGCUCAUUUUAAUUCUUGUAUUUACAGAUGAAUAAAGAAUGAAAAAAUAUUAUACAUUUCAUGGGAGAGGGAUACAUUUGUUAUGAAUGGGGAUUGUUCAUGGCAAACAAACAAUAAUAAUACAUGCCUCAUACACCAUACAAGUAGGCCACAGUUAAUCAAACAAGUAAGAUAUAAACAAGUAUAUAAUCGAAUCAAAAUAAUCAAAGAAUGAAAUAAUGAAGCAUUAAACAAUGUAUGAGUGUAAGUGCAAGGGACAUGUCUCAUUGUAAGGAAGCCCAAGAGUAAGCUAUGUGAGGUCGAUGGCGAUGCUUAAAAAGCAAUCGACUUACAAGGGUGUGAAAAAAUGGGCUCGAUAUUAAAUCGAGAAAAAUAUGAUUUUUAUAGUUUUAAAAUGGUUUUGAAUUAAAUUAAAAUACAACAACUUUACAUUAUUAACAAAAUGAACAUAUGAGUGUAAUAAAGGCAUAAACAUAAAAAGAAACUAAAAUGCUAAAAGAAAAAAUAAUAUAGCUAAAAGAAAUAAAAUGCCAAAAAAUGCCACACAUGAGUAUUGAACCCACCCCACUCAAGAAUAUACACACUGCCCUUCUCCACCAGACCACUUAUGAUCAUCUGCUACUGUGAUACUAUGUUAAAUAUAUAAACCGGGAUAAAAAAUAAAAAAAGAUUAAGAACAAUAAAAGAAAAUACUAACAUAUAAACAUUUUUAUGUUUUUUAUCUCUGUUAAAAAAACAAAUUAAAUUAAAUAAAAAGAAAAUAGAAAAAAUUAAAAAAAAGAAAAGAACGAAAUGGAGACGACGAAGCAGGAACUCGUCUUCCUUCCACCUCUCCCCAACCUCACGAACUCACCCUUUCCCAACAAUGGCAAUCUCACGCACUCGCCCCUCUCGUCCCUCUUAUGACAUCGCUCAUCAACGAAACCCUCUCACGCUCUCAAAACUCAGCGACUCAAUCUCUC